UACGUAGGCAGCAAGCGUUGUUCGGAAUUACUGGGCGUAAAGAGUGCGUAGGUGGUUGGCUAAGUUUGGUGUGAAAUCUCCCGGCUCAACUGGGAGGGUGCGCCGAAAACUGGUCGACUAGAGUGUGGGAGAGGGAAGUGGAAUUCCUGGUGUAGCGGUGAAAUGCGUAGAUAUCAGGAGGAACACCUGCGGUGUAGACGGCUUCCUGGACCAUUACUGACACUGAGGCACGAAAGCGUGGGGAGCAAACAGG
RNAcentral lists this ribosomal RNA (253 nucleotides) under uncultured bacterium. RNAcentral describes it as "partial 16S ribosomal RNA". It matches the Rfam family "Bacterial small subunit ribosomal RNA", at positions 524 to 776 of the family's 1533-position model. RNAcentral also lists the same sequence under 1 other name. The record is from RNAcentral.